GGCCUUUUCGUCGUGGGAUGGAAGGUAUAGAGGUGUGCCAAGAUUGAUGUGAUGCUGAAUGAAAACCUCUGGAACCAACUGUCACUUGUUGAACUAAGCAACACAAGGAGGCUAUGAUGUGGGGAUGUCUUGAAUGUUGUAAAUAAAUAAAUUUAAAACCUG
Non-coding RNA from Thamnophis sirtalis, 162 nucleotides. The record is from RefSeq and is a predicted model, not a curated record. NCBI's taxonomy places the organism in Eukaryota, Metazoa, Chordata, Lepidosauria, Squamata, Natricidae.